GCCGGGCGUGGUGACACACGCCUGUAAUUCCAGCAGCUCAGGAGGCUGAGACACGAGGAUAGCUAGUUCAAAGCCAGCCUCAACAACAGAGAGGCGCUAAGCAACUCAGUGAGAUCCUGUCUCUA
RNAcentral lists this small RNA (125 nucleotides) under Marmota monax (woodchuck). Lineage: Eukaryota; Metazoa; Chordata; Mammalia; Rodentia; Sciuridae. The record is from RNAcentral.